CAAGCGAGCGGCGGACGGGUGAGUAACACGUGGGUAACCUGCCCAAGAGACUGGGAUAACACCUGGAAACAGAUGCUAAUACCGGAUAACAACACUAGACGCAUGUCUAGAGUUUAAAAGAUGGUUCUGCUAUCACUCUUGGAUGGACCUGCGGUGCAUUAGCUAGUUGGUAAGGUAACGGCUUACCAAGGCAAUGAUGCAUAGCCGAGUUGAGAGACUGAUCGGCCACAUUGGGACUGAGACACGGCCCAAACUCCUACGGGAGGCAGCAGUAGGGAAUCUUCCACAAUGGACGCAAGUCUGAUGGAGCAACGCCGCGUGAGUGAAGAAGGGUUUCGGCUCGUAAAGCUCUGUUGGUAGUGAAGAAAGAUAGAGGUAGUAACUGGCCUUUAUUUGACGGUAAUUACUUAGAAAGUCACGGCUAACUACGUGCCAGCAGCCGCGGUAAUACGUAGGUGGCAAGCGUUGUCCGGAUUUAUUGGGCGUAAAGCGAGUGCAGGCGGUUCAAUAAGUCUGAUGUGAAAGCCUUCGGCUCAACCGGAGAAUUGCAUCAGAAACUGUUGAACUUGAGUGCAGAAGAGGAGAGUGGAACUCCAUGUGUAGCGGUGGAAUGCGUAGAUAUAUGGAAGAACACCAGUGGCGAAGGCGGCUCUCUGGUCUGCAACUGACGCUGAGGCUCGAAAGCAUGGGUAGCGAACAGGAUUAGAUACCCUGGUAGUCCAUGCCGUAAACGAUGAGUGCUAAGUGUUGGGAGGUUUCCGCCUCUCAGUGCUGCAGCUAACGCAUUAAGCACUCCGCCUGGGGAGUACGACCGCAAGGUUGAAACUCAAAGGAAUUGACGGGGGCCCGCACAAGCGGUGGAGCAUGUGGUUUAAUUCGAAGCAACGCGAA
This 891-nucleotide ribosomal RNA is filed under the name Lactobacillus gasseri. Its description in RNAcentral is "bacterial SSU rRNA". It matches the Rfam family "Bacterial small subunit ribosomal RNA", at positions 88 to 965 of the family's 1533-position model. Lineage: Bacteria; Bacillati; Bacillota; Bacilli; Lactobacillales; Lactobacillaceae. The record is from RNAcentral.